RNAcentral lists this ribosomal RNA (480 nucleotides) under uncultured bacterium. RNAcentral describes it as "partial 16S ribosomal RNA". It matches the Rfam family "Bacterial small subunit ribosomal RNA", at positions 28 to 507 of the family's 1533-position model. The record is from RNAcentral.
GAUGAACGCUGGCGGCGUGCUUAACACAUGCAAGUCGAACGGAACUACUCCAAUGAGAGUCUUCGGAAAGGAUUUGGUUUAGUUUAGUGGCGGACGGGUGAGUAACGCGUGGGUAACCUGCCCUAUACAGGGGGAUAACAGUUGGAAACGACUGUUAAUACCGCAUAAGCGCACAGGAGCGCAUGCUCCGGUGUGAAAAACUCCGGUGGUAUAGGAUGGACCCGCGUCUGAUUAGCUGGUUGGCGGGGUAACGGCCCACCAAGGCGACGAUCAGUAGCCGGCCUGAGAGGGUGAACGGCCACAUUGGGACUGAGACACGGCCCAAACUCCUACGGGAGGCAGCAGUGGGGAAUAUUGCACAAUGGGGGAAACCCUGAUGCAGCGACGCCGCGUGAGCAAAGAAGUAUCUCGGUAUGUAAAGCUCUAUCAGCAGGGAAGAAAAUGACGGUACCUGACUAAGAAGCCCCGGCUAACUACGUG